GCCCUGUGGUGUUUUACGCUAGAGUGCAAAUCUAGAGAAGAACCCUAAAGGCGUUCCAGGGCU
This 63-nucleotide transfer RNA is filed under the name Trachylepis huilensis. RNAcentral's name for it is "Trachylepis bayonii huilensis tRNA-Cys". Lineage: Eukaryota; Metazoa; Chordata; Lepidosauria; Squamata; Scincidae. The record is from RNAcentral.